This 332-nucleotide ribosomal RNA is filed under the name uncultured bacterium. Its description in RNAcentral is "bacterial SSU rRNA". It matches the Rfam family "Bacterial small subunit ribosomal RNA", at positions 28 to 359 of the family's 1533-position model. The record is from RNAcentral.
GACGAACGCUGGCGGCGUGCUUAACACAUGCAAGUCGAGCGGUAAGGCCCUUUCGGGGGUACGACGAGCGGCGAACGGGUGAGUAACACGUGGGUGACCUGCCCUCAGCUCUGGGAUAAGCCUGGGAAACUGGGUCUAAUACUGGAUAUGACUCCACGGUGCAUGUCGUGGGGUGGAAAGCCUUGUGCGGCUGAGGAUGGGCCCGCGGCCUAUCAGCUUGUUGGUGGGGUGAGGGCCCUACCAAGGCGACGACGGGUAGCCGGCCUGAGAGGGCGGCCGGCCACACUGGGACUGAGACACGGCCCAGACUCCUACGGGAGGCAGCAGUGGGG